This 253-nucleotide ribosomal RNA is filed under the name uncultured bacterium. Its description in RNAcentral is "partial 16S ribosomal RNA". It matches the Rfam family "Bacterial small subunit ribosomal RNA", at positions 524 to 776 of the family's 1533-position model. The record is from RNAcentral.
UACAGAGGGGGCAAGCGUUGUUCGGAAUUACUGGGCGUAAAGGGCUCGUAGGUGGCCAACUAAGUCAGACGUGAAAUCCCUCGGCUUAACCGGGGAACUGCGUCUGAUACUGGAUGGCUUGAGUUUGGGAGAGGGACGCGGAAUUCCAGGUGUAGCGGUGAAAUGCGUAGAUAUCUGGAGGAACACCGGUGGCGAAGGCGGCGGUCUGGGCCGGAACUGACGCUGAGGAGCGAAAGCGUGGGGAGCGAUCAGG